CUGAAAUCGAAGAGGCAGAAAGGAGAACUAUCGACGAAUCGGAAUAAUUGCGCGCCUUUUAAAAUAGGAAGUAAAUAGAACUAUAGACGGGGUAAAGGAAGGAUUUCGGGCUUCGGUGGAUUUUUGCAAUGAAAGUUUUCCAUACCGUAGUAGCUGGUCCAAAAUAUCAGUCGGAGUUAUCGUUGAAUCUAAUCCUCCGGCUCUAAGAUAUAAGGGGUCACUCUAAAAUGCCGGUACACAGGGUGACUUGGGCGCUGGUAAUAAAUCUGCUACACAGGGUGGGUGUAAUAGCUAACUAUCGAUAAUACAAAGGCGUUGGCGGCUGUUUAAAACAUAUGUCUAACGAAUUUCUAGAUUUUUUGAUGGAGAAGGAGAAUUAGAAUAUUUUAAAGUAUCCACCAAAUAUAUUUACAUGUUAGGGGCAAAUAAUAUUAAAAUAUGAAUAUUCUAGGGGAAGUACCGACAAUUUUUCUUUUACUACUCUCUUUCAAUAGUUAGCAAAGAAAUCAUAUUAACAAUAAAACUGAUACAUUCUGCUGGAUCUUGGUUUUAUAAAUGUUUUUUGUUUAUGUUG
Drosophila suzukii is the source of this 574-nucleotide non-coding RNA. The record is from RefSeq and is a predicted model, not a curated record. Lineage: Eukaryota; Metazoa; Arthropoda; Insecta; Diptera; Drosophilidae.